AAAGAGAAGAAAAGAAAAAGAUAAAGAGGGGAAGAAGAAGAAGCAUUUGUCGUCUGCCACUGCUCGUCCGUUGCCUAUCGCUCUGUGCUCCUCUCUCGUCCUUCGUCGUCAAUUUGCUUGAGAGAUUGUGAAGAUCAAUCAAAUGACGAGGAACUUGGAGAUAUCAUGUUACAUAGUCAAGGAGUACCUAGUGAUAUGCCAAAUAUAGAUGAUAGUAUUGAUUUAGAUGAGAAUAUCUCAACAUAUGUACGAUCAGACUGUGAAGGUACAUGGGUUCGUAAAUAACACAAUGAUAUUCUCCUUACACAUGGAGCUAAAUAUAGUAAGUGAUGAUCAAGACAAGGAGGUUAGUAGAUUAGUGGUUGGAGGAGUUGAUGACCAAAUUAUAGAGAAGCCCAAGAAACAAGGAAGUGGGAACCUACUAUUAUGUUUGAUGUGACUCGGGUUAGAAGUGAAGGUAAGAGGAAAGUGUAGUGGAAUAUAAUCAAGAUGGUGUACAUAUUGGAGAAAACGAAACUCAUUUAUUGGAUCGUGUGUACACUACCACAUCCCCAUUAACUAUCCAUCAUGGAUCGAUGUGCCUACUGAAUUGAAGGACAAUAUCUAUACUAUAGUUGAGGUAAAAUUGCUUAUGGUUUUUGUACAAGUUUAUUUCAAUUGACAAUGUGACACUAACCGAUAUUAAAUCUCAGACUGCAUUUAUAAUUGACAGUAGAUCUAGAAAGAGUGUUCUUAAGAAUGCAGGGACAACAUUCCAUCAAUUCAAGCAUUGGUUGACGAAAAAGCAUAUCUUGGUGUUCAGGAAUGAACCUGAACUUUUGAGACGACCUCCAGAUAUGUAUUCUUACAUUAACCAAGGACACUGGGAAGAAUUUGUUAGAUCCAGACUUUGUCCACAUUUUGAGGUAUCAAUGCAUUUAAGUUUGGAAGUGAAUGUAUUUUGAUUGACAAAAUAUGCAAGAAAUAGGGACAUGACAGUGGAGGGCAGAGCAGUUGUUUUGGUUUCAACCUUAUAAUUGAGAAUUGACUAUCAACAUGACUUUAUCUAAUCUUGAGGUAAGAGAUUCUACUAUUAGACCUUCAACAAUAGAUUAAAGAGCAUGUAUGUUUUCCUCAUUAUGCAUUAAUGUAGCUAUGAUGCAUAAUGUGACUGUUAGGGCUGACUGAUAGUGAUGACUACAUAGAUAAUUGUUAUGUAUGACUGAGAUAUGUAUGACUCAGAUAUGUAUGACUGAGAGAUGUUAUGAUUGAGAUAUGGUAUGACUGAGUUAUGAUACUUAUGAUAUGCUACAUGUCUAGGCUAUGAUGUUCUGUUAGCUUUGUCUAUUAAAGUCUUACCUAUAUAGGUGUCCCUCGGGAUCACCACCAGUAUAUGUUUUAGGAAUGGUUCGAUAGGAUCACUUAGAGCCUGAUUCUUUUAGGUGCCUUCGGAUCACCGAAGACCAGUUUCUCUCAGGUGUUCCUUUGGUAUCACCAAAGAUCACAUUAGAAGCAUGUGUUCGGGAGCACGAUAGUUAUGGUGUACUUCCUUUCAGGACCCUAAUGGAAAUUUAACAGACACCUAAUGGGACUAGUAGUGGGUCUCUUACUAAGUUAUAUGUUUAUACUCACACUUUCUAUGUUUAGUUUUUCAGGCAAAGGUAGAGGUAGAUGAAAGCUGAUGAAUGAUAUGAAGUGGCCGUGGUUCGCCAUAGAAGAAAGUUUAUGUGCUUCCGCCUUUAUGUUUUUAGUAUUUUAAUUUAUAGUAUUUUAUUUAAAAUUUCAAAACUCAUGCUAUGAUAUUUCAUAUUAUUUUAAAUAGGACCCGAAUUGGAAUUUGAUAUUUUACUUUUAUUUCUACUUAAUUUACUUACUAUUUAUAAAUGA
Long non-coding RNA from Cucumis sativus (cucumber), 1866 nucleotides. RefSeq lists it as uncharacterized. Lineage: Eukaryota; Viridiplantae; Streptophyta; Magnoliopsida; Cucurbitales; Cucurbitaceae. The transcript is spliced from 3 exons. The record is from RefSeq and is a predicted model, not a curated record.